This 238-nucleotide long non-coding RNA is filed under the name Ananas comosus (pineapple). Its description in RNAcentral is "long non-coding RNA (ACOM_LNC025360)". The record is from RNAcentral. Lineage: Eukaryota; Viridiplantae; Streptophyta; Magnoliopsida; Poales; Bromeliaceae.
AGAUCGCAAAGUAUUAUAAAGACUUAAUUUAUAUUUUGGACGGACAGAAUCUCUUAGCACUAAUAAUUCAAUAGGCUCAAACUAGCCGUUCAAAAUAUUUAAAAUCGCUUAUUAAUAUUAAAAUAUAUGAUUUUUAUAUAUUUAAUUAUAAUUUUUUUUUUAAUCUUAUAUGAAAUUACUGAAGUGUUACAUGAUUGAAAUACUGAGAUCAAUUUGACUAUAAAAAAAGAUCUAGAGU